GUGCUCACUUUGGCGGCACAUGUACUAAAACUGUAACAAUACAAAGAUUAGCAUGGCCUCUGUGCAAGGAUGACACCCAGAUUCGGGAAGCAUUCCAUAUUUUU
Small nuclear RNA from Cavia porcellus (domestic guinea pig), 104 nucleotides. Lineage: Eukaryota; Metazoa; Chordata; Mammalia; Rodentia; Caviidae. The record is from RefSeq and is a predicted model, not a curated record.